Molecule: ribosomal RNA, 254 nt
Filed under: uncultured bacterium
Lineage: Bacteria
Description: partial 16S ribosomal RNA
Rfam family: Bacterial small subunit ribosomal RNA
Source: RNAcentral
UACGUAGGGACCAAGCGUUGUCCGGAAUUAUUGGGCGUAAAGGGCGCGUAGGCGGCUUUGCGUGUCUUUCGUGAAAUCCCUCGGCUCAACUGAGGACGUGCGGAAGAAACUGCAGGGCUGGAGUCCGGGAGAGGAGGGUGGAAUUCCCAGUGUAGCGGUGAAAUGCGUAGAUAUUGGGAGGAACACCGGUGGCGAAGGCGGCCCUCUGGACCGGUACUGACGCUGAUGCGCGAAAGGCGUGGGGAGCAAACGGG